CCUACGGCGGUGCUGCAGUGGGGAAUAUUGGACAAUGGGCGAAAGCCUGAUCCAGCCAUGCCGCGUGUGUGAAGAAGGCCUUCGGGUUGUAAAGCACUUUCAGUGGGGAAGAAAGCCUUGGGGCUAAUACCCUCGAGGAAGGACAUCACCCACAGAAGAAGCACCGGCUAACUCCGUGCCAGCAGCCGCGGUAAUACGGAGGGUGCGAGCGUUAAUCGGAAUUACUGGGCGUAAAGCGCGCGUAGGCGGUCUGAUAAGCCGGUUGUGAAAGCCCCGGGCUCAACCUGGGAACGGCAUCCGGAACUGUCAGGCUAGAGUGCAGGAGAGGAAGGUAGAAUUCCCGGUGUAGCGGUGAAAUGCGUAGAGAUCGGGAGGAAUACCAGUGGCGAAGGCGGCCUUCUGGACUGACACUGACGCUGAGGUGCGAAAGCGUGGGUAGCAAACAGGAUUAGAUACCCGUGUAGUC
Molecule: ribosomal RNA, 466 nt
Filed under: Vreelandella stevensii
Lineage: Bacteria; Pseudomonadati; Pseudomonadota; Gammaproteobacteria; Oceanospirillales; Halomonadaceae
Description: partial 16S ribosomal RNA
Rfam family: Bacterial small subunit ribosomal RNA
Source: RNAcentral